Molecule: small RNA, 5348 nt
Filed under: Pongo abelii (Sumatran orangutan)
Lineage: Eukaryota; Metazoa; Chordata; Mammalia; Primates; Hominidae
Description: processed transcript
Source: RNAcentral
GGCAGGAAGCAGCUGGAGAGGAGGAGGAGCAGCAGCAGGAGCAGGAGCUGCCCUGCUUUCUGCCUCAGUCUCAAAGCCCAGAAUCGAUUGAGUUAGAAUUCCACAUCCAGUUGAAGUUUGGCUGCUGUUGCCUUCAGCAGGCUGAUCUCAGAAUCCCCCUUGCCAGACAGGUGUGGACCAGAUUAGAUUUCUACGUUUGCAGCCAGUGAGAGUCCUGCCGAGCCCUUCACUGAGGGGUUUUUUUGCAGGGCAUUGUUUCUGUCAUCAACUUUGUACCGUGGAGCCAGCCAGCUGGGUGCAACUGAGAAUAAUAGCUCCUUGGCUCUGUUUGUCGGUUGGGCAAGCAGUGGUGCUUUGGCUCAGAAAGUUCGUCCUGUGGCUUCUCUGUCAAACCAAGGAGUGCUGCUCCUGGAUGGAUUUCCUCUUAAAGACAGCAUUUGCAUUCUAAAACUUGAGAAUUCAUGGUUUUAAUUUUUUUUUUUUUAAUUUCCUUAACCCUUAUUUUGGUUGCAGCAGCAAGAUUCCAGAUGAUGGUGACCCCUCUCUGCCUCAGUGGCUCCCGGAAGGGCCAGCCGGAGGGCUCUAUGGCAUUGACAGCAUGCCAGAUUUACGCAGAAAGAAGCCACUGCCACUUGUCAGUGAUCUGUCACUGGUCCAGUCUCGGAAGGCAGGAAUCACUUCUGCAAUGGCUACACGCACUUCUCUUAAGGACGAAGAGCUGAAAUCCCAUGUGUAUAAGAAAACCCUGCAGGCCUUAAUCUACCCUAUUUCGUGCACCACUCCUCAUAACUUUGAGGUCUGGACGGCCACUACCCCAACCUACUGCUAUGAGUGUGAAGGCCUGCUCUGGGGCAUUGCCCGGCAAGGCAUGCGCUGCAGCGAAUGUGGAGUCAAGUGCCAUGAGAAGUGCCAGGAUCUGCUCAAUGCUGACUGCCUGCAGCGGGCUGCAGAAAAGAGCUGUAAACAUGGAGCUGAGGACCGGACCCAGAACAUUAUCAUGGCCAUGAAGGACCGCAUGAAGAUCCGAGAGCGAAAUAAGCCAGAGAUCUUUGAAGUUAUCCGGGACGUCUUCACAGUGAACAAAGCUGCCCACGUGCAGCAGAUGAAAACAGUGAAGCAGAGUGUACUGGAUGGCACCUCCAAAUGGUCGGCCAAGAUCACCAUUACUGUGGUGUGUGCCCAGGGCCUACAAGCCAAGGACAAAACAGGAUCCAGUGACCCUUACGUGACUGUGCAAGUCAGCAAGACUAAGAAGCGUACCAAGACCAUUUUUGGAAACUUGAAUCCUGUUUGGGAGGAAAAGUUCCAUUUUGAGUGCCACAACUCCUCUGACCGCAUUAAGGUGCGUGUGUGGGAUGAGGAUGAUGACAUCAAGUCAAGAGUAAAGCAACGCCUAAAGCGAGAGUCCGAUGAUUUCCUUGGCCAAACCAUCAUUGAGGUUCGGACCCUAAGUGGCGAGAUGGACGUCUGGUACAACUUGGAGAAGAGGACAGACAAAUCCGCCGUCUCAGGGGCUAUCCGACUACAAAUCAGUGUGGAGAUCAAGGGGGAGGAGAAAGUAGCCCCAUAUCACGUGCAGUACACGUGCCUCCAUGAGAAUCUUUUCCAUUACCUCACAGACAUUCAGGGCAGUGGAGGAGUCCGCAUCCCUGAAGCUCGAGGAGACGAUGCCUGGAAGGUGUACUUUGAUGAGACAGCCCAAGAAAUUGUGGAUGAAUUUGCCAUGCGUUAUGGCAUUGAGUCCAUAUAUCAGGCCAUGACGCACUUUGCAUGUUUAUCAUCCAAGUACAUGUGUCCUGGUGUGCCAGCAGUGAUGAGCACCUUACUGGCCAACAUCAAUGCCUACUAUGCCCACACAACUGCCUCUACCAAUGUCUCUGCAUGUGAUCGCUUUGCAGCCUCCAACUUUGGGAAAGAGAGAUUUGUAAAACUGCUGGACCAGCUACACAACUCACUGAGGAUCGACCUCUCUACAUACAGGAAUAAUUUCCCUGCUGGGAGUCCUGAACGGCUUCAGGACUUAAAAUCCACAGUGGAUUUGCUGACCAGCAUUACUUUCUUCAGAAUGAAGGUACAAGAACUGCAAAGCCCUCCAAGAGCCAGCCAGGUGGUAAAGGAUUGUGUGAAGGCCUGUUUGAACUCCACAUAUGAAUAUAUCUUCAACAACUGCCACGACUUAUACAGCCGCCAGUACCAGCUGAAGCAAGAGCUACCUCCAGAGGAACAAGGGCCCAGCAUUCGGAACCUGGAUUUCUGGCCCAAGCUCAUCACACUCAUCGUGUCAAUCAUAGAGGAAGAUAAGAAUUCCUACACACCUGUUCUGAACCAGUUUCCUCAGGAGUUGAAUGUGGGAAAAGUCAGCGCAGAGGUGAUGUGGCAUCUGUUUGCCCAAGACAUGAAAUAUGCAUUGGAGGAGCAUGAGAAAGACCACCUGUGUAAAAGUGCUGACUACAUGAACCUGCACUUCAAGGUGAAAUGGCUCCACAAUGAAUACAUGCGGGAUCUGCCUGUCCUCCAGGGGCAGGUGCCUGAGUACCCAGCGUGGUUUGAGCAGUUUGUGCUACAAUGGCUGGAUGAGAAUGAGGAUGUAUCCCUGGAAUUCCUGCGUGGGGCCCUGGAACGAGAUAAGAAGGAUGGAUUCCAGCAGACAUCAGAGCAUGCACUCUUUUCCUGCUCUGUGGUGGAUGUCUUCACACAACUCAAUCAGAGCUUUGAGAUCAUCCGGAAGCUGGAAUGCCCAGACCCCAGCAUCCUUGCCCACUACAUGAGGAGGUUUGCUAAGACCAUUGGGAAGCUGCUGAUGCAGUAUGCAGACAUCUUGUCAAAGGACUUCCCAGCCUAUUGCACAAAGGAGAAACUGCCCUGCAUCCUGAUGAACAACAUGCAGCAACUGAGGGUCCAGCUGGAGAAAAUGUUUGAGGCCAUGGGAGGCAAGGAGCUGGACCUUGAAGCUGCAGACAGUCUGAAGGAGCUGCAGGUGAAACUGAAUACAGUUCUGGAUGAGCUCAGCAUGGUGUUUGGAAACAGUUUCCAGGUACGGAUUGAUGAGUGUGUUCGACAAAUGGCCGACAUCCUGGGCCAGGUUCGGGGCACAGGGAAUGCAUCUCCAGACGCCAGGGCCUCAGCGGCUCAGGAUGCAGAUAGCGUACUCCGGCCUCUCAUGGACUUCCUGGAUGGCAACCUCACCCUCUUUGCCACUGUGUGUGAGAAGACGGUUCUGAAGCGUGUACUGAAGGAGCUCUGGCGCGUGGUGAUGAACACAAUGGAGAGGAUGAUCGUUCUGCCCCCAUUCACUGACCAGACGGGCACCCAGCUGAUCUUCACUGCUGCCAAGGAGCUGAGCCAUCUUUCCAAACUCAAGGAUCACAUGGUGCGAGAGGAAACACGGAAUCUCACUCCAAAGCAGUGUGCAGUCCUUGACCUCGCCCUGGACACCAUCAAGCAAUACUUCCAUGCAGGAGGCAAUGGGCUGAAGAAAACCUUCCUGGAGAAGAGCCCAGAUCUGCAGUCUCUACGCUAUGCCCUGUCUCUAUACACACAGACUACUGACACUCUCAUCAAGACCUUUGUGCGCUCACAGACCACCCAAGGGUGUGGUGUGGACGAUCCUGUGGGAGAAGUCUCUAUUCAGGUGGACUUGUUUACACACCCUGGUACUGGGGAGCACAAGGUCACAGUGAAAGUGGUGGCUGCCAAUGACCUCAAGUGGCAGACAGCGGGUAUGUUCCGGCCUUUCGUGGAGGUGACCAUGGUUGGCCCACACCAAAGUGAUAAGAAGAGGAAGUUCACAACCAAAUCCAAAAGCAACAACUGGGCCCCCAAGUACAAUGAGACAUUCCACUUCCUCCUGGGAAAUGAAGAGGGGCCCGAGUCCUAUGAGUUGCAGAUAUGCGUGAAGGAUUACUGCUUUGCCCGGGAAGAUCGCGUGCUAGGGCUGGCUGUGAUGCCUCUGAGGGAUGUCACAGCCAAGGGCAGCUGUGCCUGCUGGUGCCCCUUGGGCCGGAAGAUCCACAUGGAUGAGACAGGCCUGACCAUUCUCCGGAUUUUGUCUCAGAGGAGCAAUGACGAGGUGGCCCGAGAAUUUGUGAAACUCAAAUCAGAGUCUCGUUCCACAGAGGAGGGGAGCUGAACACCUUCGACUCCUGUGCCAGUCAGGCAGCAGCAAUUUCACAAAUCAGGGCCAGUGGGAGUUAGCUGUGUAACCGGCUUAGGGUCUUUGCAGUCAAGAGGCUGACCCCUUCAGUUAAAGAUAUUUAAGGAAAAAUUUGGGGUGGUGAUAAUAUGGCUUUUCACAGAAAGGGUCAUGAAGCCGUGACCCAGCAGGACUGUGGUACUAGGGGCUGGGAUGUGGGGUUACCACAUGGAGAGAUUUUCCAUAAAGAGAGAAGGAUAAACAUUUCUGAGAGUGUCAGCCAUUCUUGGUAGACACCUCUCUACUCCUCAUCCCACCUCUACCCAUCUCCAUGCCACACCUUAUCCAGUUAGAAACAUACAUACCAGUCAUUAGAAGAACAAGUUUAGAGGGUAUGGAACUUGUACCUGGCUGGCUGGGUAGUCAGUUGAGCCUGUUGCUGAGCACUGUGGUCUGGAUUGGAGUAUGGCCAGGGCAGGAGUACACAGAAUAGAAUUUAGACUGUCCCUUGAGUAGAAUCCACUGAUUUUCUGUGGCUCCAGUGAGAACACGGCUUUGAAACUGAACAAGAUACCUUCUAGAAAUGAACUGUGCUAAUCCCUUCCUCCAGAUUGUAUCAUGAGUAGAAUCAGGUUCACGUGGUGCUUCAAAGCCCUGAGAAGAAUAUUUCUUUGGACCCCAGGCACUAGGGGCCACCUGCCUGGGAGUCUCCCUGCCUCACUCCUCUAGGCAGGGGAGUGAUGCUUCAGGACGUGACAGGCUGUUCUAACAUGUGUCUACCUGAGGGCUAGUUGAAGGAUCCAGGAGUAUUUUCUUCUUCUUGGGUGGGCCCUGAACAAAGCCAAAAAUUGUAGAAACCAGUCUAGAAAAAGUCCUGCUCAUCUGUGGCCACUGCCUUCUAGCCAUCCUCCACCUCGCAGAAAGAAUCUAGCCUUUGGUCUCUCUCUCUCUCUCUCAUCUGGGUCAUUUGCUAUUCCCCUCAGAUAUUCAACCCUAUAGAAGGAGCCUGGACUCUGACCCCUCUGUACAUGGCUGGAUGGAAGGGGCCCUCAACACUCCCUGGGAGGUCAGAGACAAACUGUUUCAGAGAGUCAGAUGGACUUCCCAAGACUUGUUGAGAGAUGUGACAUGGUUCUUGGAUUUCCUCUGUAGCAGCCUCCUGGACUUCCUGAGGACUCAACAUUGUCCACAGAUGUACUGGCCAUUACAUGAAACA